GUGAGGAAUAUUGCGCAAUGGAGGCAACUCUGACGCAGCCAUGCCGCGUGCAGGAAGAAGGCGCUACGCGUUGUAAACUGCUUUUAACCGGGAAGAAACCCCAGGACGUGUCCUGGGUUGACGGUACCGGAGGAAUAAGCACCGGCUAACUUCGUGCCAGCAGCCGCGGUAAUACGAACGGUGCAAGCGUUAUCCGGAUUCUUUGGGUUUAAAGGGUGCGUAGGCGGAGCGUUAAGUCAGUGGUGAAAUCCUGCAGCUUAACUGUAGACUUGCAAUUGAUACUGGCGCUCUUGAGUGCGCUUGAAGUGGGCGGAAUGUGCCGUGUAGCGGUGAAAUGCUUAGAUAUGGCACAGAACACCAAUUGCGAAGGCAGCUCACUAAGGCGAUACUGACGCUGAGGCACGAAAGCGUGGGGAUCGAACAGGAUUAGAAACCCGGGUAGUCC
Molecule: ribosomal RNA, 445 nt
Filed under: uncultured bacterium
Lineage: Bacteria
Description: partial 16S ribosomal RNA
Rfam family: Bacterial small subunit ribosomal RNA
Source: RNAcentral